This 254-nucleotide ribosomal RNA is filed under the name uncultured microorganism. RNAcentral describes it as "partial 16S ribosomal RNA". It matches the Rfam family "Archaeal small subunit ribosomal RNA", at positions 474 to 727 of the family's 1478-position model. The record is from RNAcentral.
CACCGGCGGCUCGAGUUGUGGCCACUUUUAUUGGGUCUAAAGCGUCCGUAGCCGGCUUGGCAAGUCCCCUGGGAAAUCUGGCGGCUUAACCGUCAGGCGUCCAGAGGAUACUGCCAGGCUUGGGACCGGGAGAGGUGAGAGGUACCUCAGGGGUAGGGGUGAAAUCUUGUGAUCCCUGAGGGACCACCAGUGGCGAAGGCGUCUCACUAGAACGGGUCCGACGGUCAGGGACGAAAGCUGGGGGCACGAACCGG